This is a long non-coding RNA of Microplitis mediator, 285 nucleotides long. RefSeq lists it as uncharacterized. NCBI's taxonomy places the organism in Eukaryota, Metazoa, Arthropoda, Insecta, Hymenoptera, Braconidae. The transcript is spliced from 2 exons. The record is from RefSeq and is a predicted model, not a curated record.
GCCAAGAAAUAUAACUGCGGAAUCAUUUGCGGAGUCGCUUACGGGUGAAGACUUAAUAGGAUUUUUAGAACUCAACAAUAACUUUCCCUAUUCUGGAUGUGGAUGUAACGACGGAUACUGGCGCGAUUGGAAUCGAAAGUGCGUUCUACCCAUUGAUUGUUACAACAAGGGAUUGCCCCCAAUUCUAGGUGAUCGGGAAUAUUUAGUUCGCAAACGAGAGAAAGCUAUUCGGGACAACAACAAUUCAAUGAACGUAUACUUUCCUGGACAAAAGCCGAAAGCGGU